RNAcentral lists this ribosomal RNA (444 nucleotides) under Escherichia coli. RNAcentral describes it as "bacterial SSU rRNA". It matches the Rfam family "Bacterial small subunit ribosomal RNA", at positions 1050 to 1494 of the family's 1533-position model. Lineage: Bacteria; Pseudomonadati; Pseudomonadota; Gammaproteobacteria; Enterobacterales; Enterobacteriaceae. RNAcentral also lists the same sequence under 2 other names. The record is from RNAcentral.
UGUCGUCAGCUCGUGUUGUGAAAUGUUGGGUUAAGUCCCGCAACGAGCGCAACCCUUAUCCUUUGUUGCCAGCGGUCCGGCCGGGAACUCAAAGGAGACUGCCAGUGAUAAACUGGAGGAAGGUGGGGAUGACGUCAAGUCAUCAUGGCCCUUACGACCAGGGCUACACACGUGCUACAAUGGCGCAUACAAAGAGAAGCGACCUCGCGAGAGCAAGCGGACCUCAUAAAGUGCGUCGUAGUCCGGAUUGGAGUCUGCAACUCGACUCCAUGAAGUCGGAAUCGCUAGUAAUCGUGGAUCAGAAUGCCACGGUGAAUACGUUCCCGGGCCUUGUACACACCGCCCGUCACACCAUGGGAGUGGGUUGCAAAAGAAGUAGGUAGCUUAACCUUCGGGAGGGCGCUUACCACUUUGUGAUUCAUGACUGGGGUGAAGUCGUAACAA